This 304-nucleotide ribosomal RNA is filed under the name uncultured bacterium. Its description in RNAcentral is "partial 16S ribosomal RNA". It matches the Rfam family "Bacterial small subunit ribosomal RNA", at positions 506 to 809 of the family's 1533-position model. The record is from RNAcentral.
CAGCAGUAGCCGCGGUAAUACGAGGGGGGCGAGCGUUGUUCGGAAUUAUUGGGCGUAAAGGGUGCGUAGGCGGUUCGGUAAGUCUUGUGUGAAAUCUUCAGGCUCAACUUGAAGUCUGCACGAGAAACUGCCGGGCUUGAGUGUGGGAGAGGUGAGUGGAAUUUCCGGUGUAGCGGUGAAAUGCGUAGAUAUCGGAAGGAACACCUGUGGCGAAAGCGGCUCACUGGACCACAACUGACGCUGAGGCACGAAAGCUAGGGGAGCAAACAGGAUUAGAUACCCCCGUAGUCCCUGUCUCUUAUAU